ACGGCAGCACGGAGCUUGCUCUGGUGGCGAGUGGCGAACGGGUGAGUAAUAUAUCGGAACGUACCCUGGAGUGGGGGAUAACGUAGCGAAAGUUACGCUAAUACCGCAUACGAUCUACGGAUGAAAGUGGGGGAUCGCAAGACCUCAUGCUCGUGGAGCGGCCGAUAUCUGAUUAGCUAGUUGGUAGGGUAAAAGCCUACCAAGGCAUCGAUCAGUAGCUGGUCUGAGAGGACGACCAGCCACACUGGAACUGAGACACGGUCCAGACUCCUACGGGAGGCAGCAGUGGGGAAUUUUGGACAAUGGGCGAAAGCCUGAUCCAGCAAUGCCGCGUGAGUGAAGAAGGCCUUCGGGUUGUAAAGCUCUUUUGUCAGGGAAGAAACGGUGAGAGCUAAUAUCUUUUGCUAAUGACGGUACCUGAAGAAUAAGCACCGGCUAACUACGUGCCAGCAGCCGCGGUAAUACGUAGGGUGCAAGCGUUAAUCGGAAUUACUGGGCGUAAAGCGUGCGCAGGCGGUUUUGUAAGUCUGAUGUGAAAUCCCCGGGCUCAACCUGGGAAUUGCAUUGGAGACUGCAAGGCUAGAAUCUGGCAGAGGGAGGUAGAAUUCCACGUGUAGCA
This 619-nucleotide ribosomal RNA is filed under the name uncultured bacterium. RNAcentral describes it as "bacterial SSU rRNA". It matches the Rfam family "Bacterial small subunit ribosomal RNA", at positions 66 to 680 of the family's 1533-position model. The record is from RNAcentral.